Small nucleolar RNA from Notamacropus eugenii (tammar wallaby), 131 nucleotides. Ensembl annotates it as small Cajal body-specific RNA 8. Its record names the gene SCARNA8. The record is from Ensembl. NCBI's taxonomy places the organism in Eukaryota, Metazoa, Chordata, Mammalia, Diprotodontia, Macropodidae.
UGGGAGGCUGAUACACAGGUAGAGCAGAAUUAUUGCUCUAGUUGUCACAAGCUCUCCCAAGAUAAAACUGCCUUUUGAUGACCGGGACGAAUUGAGAGAAAUCGUAACGGACAGAUACGGGGCAGAUAUAA